RNAcentral lists this unclassified non-coding RNA (195 nucleotides) under Phylloporus sp. RNAcentral describes it as "partial contains small subunit ribosomal RNA, internal transcribed spacer 1, and 5.8S ribosomal RNA". The stretch from base 1 to 46 matches the Rfam family "Eukaryotic small subunit ribosomal RNA", at positions 1786 to 1831 of the family's 1831-position model. The record is from RNAcentral. Lineage: Eukaryota; Fungi; Basidiomycota; Agaricomycetes; Boletales; Boletaceae.
AAGUCGUAACAAGGUUUCCGUAGGUGAACCUGCGGAAGGAUCAUUAUGAUAUGAUGAAUAUGAUGAGUGUGAAGCGGUGGUGCGUGGGGUGCUGCUUAGGAGGCGGCGUUCUGGGCACCACGGCAAAAGCAGCAAGGUGUGAUGUGUGAAUGUGUAAAGCCAACAUAACUUUUAACAAUGGAUCUCUUGGCUCUC